This 930-nucleotide non-coding RNA is filed under the name Hyloxalus sordidatus. RNAcentral's name for it is "12S ribosomal RNA". It matches the Rfam family "Bacterial small subunit ribosomal RNA". The record is from RNAcentral. Lineage: Eukaryota; Metazoa; Chordata; Amphibia; Anura; Dendrobatidae.
AAGGUUUGGUCCUAGCCUUGAAGUCAGUUAUUAUUUAAUAUACACAUGCAAGUUUCCGCACCCCUGUGAAAACGCCCUUAAAUUUCCCGCUAGAAAAUAGGAGCUGGUAUCAGGCACAAUCUUCCGCCCAUAACACCUAGCAUCGCCACACCCACAAGGGAUUUCAGCAGUGAUAAAUAUUGAGUAUAAGCGACAGCUUGACUCAGUUAAAUUAACUAGAGCCGGCUAAUUUGGUGCCAGCCGCCGCGGUUACACCACUAUGGCUCAAAUUGACUUCCAUCGGCGUAAAGCGUGAUUUAAGCACUUUGCACUUGGAACCAAAUUUAAAUUAAGCCGUGACACGCUUGUGACCAAGAAGAUCAUAGACGAAAGUUAUUCCAAUUAAACCAACUUGAAUUCACGACAACUAAGGAACAAACUGGGAUUAGAUACCCCACUAUGCUUAGUCGUAAACUUUAACUUACCCCCACCCUCGCCCGGGAACUACGAGCCAAGCUUAAAACCCAAAGGACUUGACGGUACCCCAUAUCCCCCUAGAGGAGCCUGUCCUAUAAUCGAUAACCCCCGUUCAACCUCACCAUUUUUAGUAACUCAGCCUGUAUACCUCCGUCGUCAGCUUACCACGUGAGCGUUAGUGAGCUUAAUGUUUUUACAACUAAACGUCAGGUCAAGGUGCAACAUAUAAGAUGGGAAGAGAUGGGCUACACUCUCUAACUUAGACAAUACGAAAGACUACCUAUGAAACCUAGUCAGAAGGCGGAUUUAGAAGUAAACUGGAACUAGAGUGUCCUUUUUAACCCGGCACUGGGGUGUGUACACACCGCCCGUCACCCUCCUCAUUGCUAUAAAACAGUUCUUAAACAUAUUUUUAGCCCCCUCAGAAGAGGCAAGUCGUAACAUGGUAAGUAUACCGGAAGGUGUGCUUGGAUU